Molecule: RNase P RNA, 365 nt
Filed under: Nocardioides albus
Lineage: Bacteria; Bacillati; Actinomycetota; Actinomycetes; Propionibacteriales; Nocardioidaceae
Description: RNase P class A
Rfam family: Bacterial RNase P class A
About the family: Ribonuclease P (RNase P) is a ubiquitous endoribonuclease, found in archaea, bacteria and eukarya as well as chloroplasts and mitochondria.
Source: RNAcentral
CGGGCUGGCCGGGCGAUCGCGUCGUAGAGAUACGUCGAGGAAAGUCCGGGCUCCACAGGACAGGGUGGUGGCUAACGGCCACCCGGGGUGACCCGCGGGACAGUGCCACAGAGAACAGACCGCCGCUACCCUCCAGGUAGCGGUAAGGGUGAAACGGUGGGGUAAGAGCCCACCAGUCCUCGUGGUGACACGAGGAGCUAGGUAAACCCCACCCGGAGCAAGACCAGACAGCGUACGACGGUGUUAGUUCACUGGGAGGGCGGUCCGCCCGAGUGCGCGGGUAGGUUGCUAGAGGCCAUCGGCAACGAUGGUCCGAGAUGGAUGGUCGCCGACUACAGAACCCGGCUUACAGGCCAGCCCGUCCG